UGAAGUGUUUCUUUACAGAUCACAAUGUAUUGUCCGUUUUGUGGCGCUGCAGUGGAAAGCUGUCCUGCAUUUUGCAGUGCAUGUGGCCAUAGUAUAAAAUUUCUGAAGAAUGUUUCCAACAAAGUUCCUGAUGAAAAUCAGCCAAGCACAAGUGAAGCACAAAAUACAGGGAGAAGUUCAUUGGAUUCCUUCAUGAAGUUCAGGGCUUUGAAAGAGAAGGAGAGGAAAACAUUCUUUACUAAGAAAUGCCAGGCAUCUAAGAAGGAUAAGAAAACUGUAAAGAUUUAUGUUGGAGUUAUGUGGAGACAUAAUGGUGUACUAAAGCCUGUUAGAGGGAAGACCCUGCCUCUUGAGGUUCAACCUAAUUGGUCUUCAGAGCAACUAUUAACUGCUGCUGUAAAAAAAAGUAAAAGAUUUUAAUCAAGACAUACAAGAUGGCCCCUAUGUGUUGCUGUACCCCGAUGGAGCAGAAGUGAAACACAUUCCAGGAACAAACACACCUUUCAGAAUAGAACUGUACAAAGAGGCACUAGGGAAGGCUUACCAACGAAUAACUCUGUUCACAUGCACUGGUCAAGACUUUUCAGUCAAUGGUAAGCAAAUUUUACUUUGAAUAAUUCCCACCUAGACAACACAUUUACAACAAUAUAUACAGAAAUCAGUUAUAAUCAAAGCACAUUUUUCAAAGACCCAUA
Long non-coding RNA from Triplophysa dalaica, 695 nucleotides. RefSeq lists it as uncharacterized. NCBI's taxonomy places the organism in Eukaryota, Metazoa, Chordata, Actinopteri, Cypriniformes, Nemacheilidae. The transcript is spliced from 3 exons. The record is from RefSeq and is a predicted model, not a curated record.